RNAcentral lists this ribosomal RNA (253 nucleotides) under uncultured Oscillospira sp. RNAcentral describes it as "partial 16S ribosomal RNA". It matches the Rfam family "Bacterial small subunit ribosomal RNA", at positions 524 to 776 of the family's 1533-position model. The record is from RNAcentral. Lineage: Bacteria; Bacillati; Bacillota; Clostridia; Eubacteriales; Oscillospiraceae.
UACGUAGGUGGCAAGCGUUGUCCGGAUUUACUGGGUGUAAAGGGCGUGCAGCCGGGCUGACAAGUCAGAUGUGAAAUCCCGCGGCUCAACCGCGGAACUGCAUUUGAAACUGUCAGUCUUGAGUACCGGAGAGGUCAUCGGAAUUCCUUGUGUAGCGGUGAAAUGCGUAGAUAUUAGGAGGAACACCAGUGGCGAAGGCGGCUUACUGGACUGUAACUGACGUUGAGGCUCGAAAGCGUGGGGAGCAAACAGG